GUCAGCCCAGGACCAGGUCUGGAGAUGGUCAUCCAGGGUAAGUCCGUCCAUAGGACGGCGCCAUCUCCACCAAAGGGACUUGGUUUUGGGUGGAGGA
Molecule: non-coding RNA, 97 nt
Filed under: unclassified sequences
Description: DUF1874 RNA
Rfam family: DUF1874 RNA
About the family: Hot springs metagenome only. Environment (Bison Hot Springs, Yellowstone)
Source: RNAcentral